RNAcentral lists this transfer RNA (75 nucleotides) under Staphylococcus pragensis. RNAcentral describes it as "Staphylococcus petrasii subsp. pragensis tRNA-Arg". It matches the Rfam family "tRNA". From Rfam's summary of the family: Transfer RNA (tRNA) molecules are approximately 80 nucleotides in length. Their secondary structure includes four short double-helical elements and three loops (D, anti-codon, and T loops). Lineage: Bacteria; Bacillati; Bacillota; Bacilli; Caryophanales; Staphylococcaceae. The record is from RNAcentral.
CUCCCCGUAGUGUAAUGGAUCGCACGUAAGAUUCCGGUUCUUAAAAUAGAGGUUCGAUUCCUCUCGGGGGGAUCA